Molecule: ribosomal RNA, 1539 nt
Filed under: Shigella sonnei
Lineage: Bacteria; Pseudomonadati; Pseudomonadota; Gammaproteobacteria; Enterobacterales; Enterobacteriaceae
Description: partial 23S ribosomal RNA
Rfam family: Bacterial large subunit ribosomal RNA
Source: RNAcentral
CGAGGCCGAAAGGCGUAGUCGAUGGGAAACAGGUUAAUAUUCCUGUACUUGGUGUUACUGCGAAGGGGGGACGGAGAAGGCUAUGUUGGCCGGGCGACGGUUGUCCCGGUUUAAGCGUGUAGGCUGGUUUUCCAGGCAAAUCCGGAAAAUCAAGGCUGAGGCGUGAUGACGAGGCACUACGGUGCUGAAGCAACAAAUGCCCUGCUUCCAGGAAAAGCCUCUAAGCAUCAGGUAACAUCAAAUCGUACCCCAAACCGACACAGGUGGUCAGGUAGAGAAUACCAAGGCGCUUGAGAGAACUCGGGUGAAGGAACUAGGCAAAAUGGUGCCGUAACUUCGGGAGAAGGCACGCUGAUAUGUAGGUGAAGUCCCUUGCGGAUGGAGCUGAAAUCAGUCGAAGAUACCAGCUGGCUGCAACUGUUUAUUAAAAACACAGCACUGUGCAAACACGAAAGUGGACGUAUACGGUGUGACGCCUGCCCGGUGCCGGAAGGUUAAUUGAUGGGGUCAGCGCAAGCGAAGCUCUUGAUCGAAGCCCCGGUAAACGGCGGCCGUAACUAUAACGGUCCUAAGGUAGCGAAAUUCCUUGUCGGGUAAGUUCCGACCUGCACGAAUGGCGUAAUGAUGGCCAGGCUGUCUCCACCCGAGACUCAGUGAAAUUGAACUCGCUGUGAAGAUGCAGUGUACCCGCGGCAAGACGGAAAGACCCCGUGAACCUUUACUAUAGCUUGACACUGAACAUUGAGCCUUGAUGUGUAGGAUAGGUGGGAGGCUUUGAAGUGUGGACGCCAGUCUGCAUGGAGCCGGCCUUGAAAUACCACCCUUUAAUGUUUGAUGUUCUAACGUGGACCCGUGAUCCGGGUUGCGGACAGUGUCUGGUGGGUAGUUUGACUGGGGCGGUCUCCUCCUAAAGAGUAACGGAGGAGCACGAAGGUUGGCUAAUCCUGGUCGGACAUCAGGAGGUUAGUGCAAUGGCAUAAGCCAGCUUGACUGCGAGCGUGACGGCGCGAGCAGGUGCGAAAGCAGGUCAUAGUGAUCCGGUGGUUCUGAAUGGAAGGGCCAUCGCUCAACGGAUAAAAGGUACUCCGGGGAUAACAGGCUGAUACCGCCCAAGAGUUCAUAUCGACGGCGGUGUUUGGCACCUCGAUGUCGGCUCAUCACAUCCUGGGGCUGAAGUAGGUCCCAAGGGUAUGGCUGUUCGCCAUUUAAAGUGGUACGCGAGCUGGGUUUAGAACGUCGUGAGACAGUUCGGUCCCUAUCUGCCGUGGGCGCUGGAGAACUGAGGGGGGCUGCUCCUAGUACGAGAGGACCGGAGUGGACGCAUCACUGGUGUUCGGGUUGUCAUGCCAAUGGCACUGCCCGGUAGCUAAAUGCGGAAGAGAUAAGUGCUGAAAGCAUCUAAGCACGAAACUUGCCCCGAGAUGAGUUCUCCCUGACCCUUUAAGGGUCCUGAAGGAACGUUGAAGACGACGACGUUGAUAGGCCGGGUGUGUAAGCGCAGCGAUGCGUUGAGCUAACCGGUACUAAUGAACCGUGAGG